CCUACGGGUUGCAGCAGUGGGGAAUAUUGCACAAUGGGCGCAAGCCUGAUGCAGCCAUGCCGCGUGUAUGAAGAAGGCCUUCGGGUUGUAAGUACUUCCAGCGGGGAGGAAGGCGAUAAGGUUAAUAACCUUGUCGAUUGACGUUACCCGCAGAAGAAGCACCGGCUAACUCCGUGCCAGCAGCCGCGGUAAUACGGAGGGUGCAAGCGUUAAUCGGAAUUACUGGGCGUAAAGCGCACGCAGGCGGUCUGUCAAGUCGGAUGUGAAAUCCCCGGGCUCAACCUGGGAACUGCAUUCGAAACUGGCAGGCUAGAGUCUUGUAGAGGGGGGUAGAAUUCCAGGUGUAGCGGUGAAAUGCGUAGAGAUCUGGAGGAAUACCGGUGGCGAAGGCGGCCCCCUGGACAAAGACUGACGCUCAGGUGCGAAAGCGUGGGGAGCAAACAGGAUUAGAUACCCGGGUAGUC
This 464-nucleotide ribosomal RNA is filed under the name uncultured bacterium. RNAcentral describes it as "bacterial SSU rRNA". It matches the Rfam family "Bacterial small subunit ribosomal RNA", at positions 338 to 795 of the family's 1533-position model. The record is from RNAcentral.